UGAGGAAUAUUGCGCAAUGGGGGAAACCCUGACGCAGCAACGCCGCGUGAGUGAGGAAGGUUUUCGGACCGUAAAGCUCUGUCGAGCGGGAAGAAAUGCAUGGUGGCUAAUAUCCAUCAUGCUUGACGGUACCGCUAAAGGAAGCACCGGCUAACUCCGAGCCAGCAGCCGCGGUAAUACGGGGGGUGCGAGGGGUGUUCGGGAUUAUUGGGCGUAAAGAGCGUGUAGGCGGCUGAAUAAGUCAGAUGUGAAAUCCCUGGGCUUAACCCAGGACGGGCAUUUGAAACUAGUCGGCUAGAGUAGGGGAGAGGAAAGUGGAAUUCCUGGUGUAGAGGUGAAAUUCGUAGAUAUCAGGAGGAACACCGGUGGCGAAGGCGACUUUCUGGCCCUAUACUGACGCUGAGACGCGAGAGCGUGGGUAGCAAACA
Molecule: ribosomal RNA, 428 nt
Filed under: uncultured prokaryote
Description: bacterial SSU rRNA
Rfam family: Bacterial small subunit ribosomal RNA
Source: RNAcentral